Molecule: ribosomal RNA, 301 nt
Filed under: uncultured bacterium
Lineage: Bacteria
Description: partial 16S ribosomal RNA
Rfam family: Bacterial small subunit ribosomal RNA
Source: RNAcentral
CAGCAGCCGCGGGAAAACGUAGGUGGCAAGCGUUGUCCGGAAUUAUUGGGCGUAAAGGGCUCGCAGGCGGUUUCUUAAGUCUGAUGUGAAAGCCCCCGGCUCAACCGGGGAGGGUCAUUGGAAACUGGGAAACUUGAGUGCAGAAGAGGAGAGUGGAAUUCCACGUGUAGCGGUGAAAUGCGUAGAGAUGUGGAGGAACACCAGUGGCGAAGGCGACUCUCUGGUCUGUAACUGACGCUGAGGAGCGAGAGCGUGGGGAGCGAACAGGAUUAGAUACCCCAGUAGUCCCUGUCUCUUAUAA